RNAcentral lists this long non-coding RNA (1317 nucleotides) under Chinchilla lanigera (long-tailed chinchilla). RNAcentral's name for it is "lncRNA (ENSCLAG00000027736.1)". The record is from RNAcentral. Lineage: Eukaryota; Metazoa; Chordata; Mammalia; Rodentia; Chinchillidae.
GGCAGGACUGCCUGCCAAGGCUCCUCCCAGGACCCAGCAGUGGCUACUGCCCCUACCCCAGGAGGGCGUGUGGGGCCCAGAAGCCAGGCCCGCACUGAGCUGGACCCGAGGCAGGGCAAGUGCUGCCGGGAGGGCCUCACUGAGUGGCCCACGGUGAGCCCCUCACCCCACCCAGCAGACUCCCGGGCUGCCCUGCAGCCAGCCUGUGUGGCCUGUGGCCGGGAGGGUGUACCCAGCCUGUCUCACGCCUGUGCCUCCUCUUGCACUGGCAGCAUCUUCAGAGUGCCCAGCACCAGGCAUUCUCCCCCAGAGCCCAUCCAUGUGCGGACAUCAGCUGGCUCAUGGCCCAGCUUGGCCCUGGUGGGUGCCACAUGCUGGCAGGCCUGUGUCCACUCGCUGUCUGCCCUCCCCAGGCCGGAAGGACCCUUGAGUUCCCAGUGGCAGCCACAGGCUGGACGGCUCUCCCGCUUCACUUCCGGAGCGCUCCACUUCCGGAGCGCUCAUCCUGUUUGUUCUAGGGGUGCUCACGGGCACGCAGAGGGUGCUGAGCAAGGCCCUUCUGCCCGGAGAAGAGCUCAAGAGGACUGCUGGGACCCCGGGCCAGCACCGCUGCCCCGCAGGCCACCCUGGCCUGCCUGGGGCCGGGACUCUGCCACAGCGCCAGGGGCCCAGCCUCCUCCCACUGGGCCGGCCAGCUCCUGGGCCUCUCAUCGUGCCCGGCUCUGCCCCAAGCCUCCAGGCGCCCAGCAGACCCCAGGUGCCACAGAGCAGGAUGACUCAGAGCACCCCUGGAGUAGCCGGCCCUGCAGCAAGCUGCCCCAGCGCAGGGGUCGGUGGAUGCAUGUGCCGCACCCCAGGAACGCCUGUGCGCGGGAGUGUGCGGCCACAGGCCACACAGGCUGGCUGCAGGGCAGCCCGGGAGUCUGCUGGGUGGGGGUAGCCACAGCCUACCGGCUCUGGCUCUGCCGACCUCUCUGAGGGCCCAGGCCCGGCCCUGGGGGCGACCCCUGCCCCCGCGAAGCUUCCAGCUCCCCAUGCACAGCCCCUGGCCCGCCUGCUGUCCCCGUGGCCACAGGGAGCCGGGCCGCCGCGCCCCAGCCCUGCCCACUGCGGGGGGCCCAUGACUGGGCGCCCCGGCUUCCUGUGGGUCCUGUCUCCUGGCCCCCAGCCAGCGACGUGGGGCAGGCCUCGGACACCAGGAGGGCUGCCGAGCGGGCUGGCCGUCCGCACCAGGCAUCUGCGGGGUCUGCUCGGCCGGAGCAGCUGCCCGACGGGGCCCCUCGGAGCCCGCACAGGAGGCUGCGGAGGCCGUGGGUG